GUGGGGAAUCUUCCACAAUGGACGAAAGUCUGAUGGAGCAACGCCGCGUGAGUGAAGAAGGGUUUCGGCUCGUAAAGCUCUGUUGUCGGGGACGAAUGUGCAGUAUUUGAAUAAAGUACUGUAAUGACGGUACCUGACGAGGAAGCCACGGCUAACUACGUGCCAGCAGCCGCGGUAAUACGUAGGUGGCAAGCGUUGUCCGGAAUUAUUGGGCGUAAAGGGAGCGCCGGCGGGAAGGUAAGUCGGUCUUAAAAGUGCGGGGCUCAACCCCGUGAUGGGAUCGAAACUAUCUUUCUUGAGUGCAGGAGAGGAAAGUGGAAUUCCUAGUGUAGCGGUGAAAUGCGUAGAUAUUAGGAGGAACACCAGUGGCGAAGGCGACUUUCUGGACUGUAACUGACGCUGAGGCUCGAAAGCCAGGGGAGCGAACGGGAUUAGAAACCCGGGUAGUCC
This 450-nucleotide ribosomal RNA is filed under the name uncultured bacterium. RNAcentral describes it as "partial 16S ribosomal RNA". It matches the Rfam family "Bacterial small subunit ribosomal RNA", at positions 354 to 796 of the family's 1533-position model. The record is from RNAcentral.